RNAcentral lists this ribosomal RNA (463 nucleotides) under uncultured bacterium. RNAcentral's name for it is "partial 16S ribosomal RNA". It matches the Rfam family "Bacterial small subunit ribosomal RNA", at positions 28 to 506 of the family's 1533-position model. The record is from RNAcentral.
GACGAACGCUGGCGGCGUGCUUAACACAUGCAAGUCGAACGGAAAGGCCCUGCUUGCAGGGUACUCGAGUGGCGAACGGGUGAGUAACACGUGGGUGAUCUGCCCUGCACUUCGGGAUAAGCCUGGGAAACUGGGUCUAAUACCGGAUAGGAGCCAUUUUUAGUGUGAUGGUUGGAAAGUUUUUUCGGUGUAGGAUGAGCUCGCGGCCUAUCAGCUUGUUGGUGGGGUAAUGGCCUACCAAGGCGGCGACGGGUAGCCGGCCUGAGAGGGUGGACGGCCACAGUGGGACUGAGAUACGGCCCAGACUCCUACGGGAGGCAGCAGUGGGGAAUAUUGCACAAUGGGCGCAAGCCUGAUGCAGCGACGCCGCGUGGGGGAUGACGGCCUUCGGGUUGUAAACUCCUUUCGCUAGGGACGAAGCUUUUGUGACGGUACCUAGAUAAGAAGCACCGGCUAACUACGU